GACGAACGCUGGCGGCGUGCCUAACACAUGCAAGUGGAGCGACGAACCAGGCUUCGGCCUGGGGCAAAGCCGCGAACGGGUGAGUAACACGUGGGUAACCUGCCCCGAUGAUUGGGACAACCCGAGGAAACUCGAGCUAAUACCAAAUGUGCCCUCCGGCCGCAAGGCCGUUGGGGAAAGGAAGCUUCGGCCUCCGCAUCAGGAUGGGCCCGCGGCCCAUUAGCUUGUUGGUGAGGUAACGGCUCACCAAGGCGGCGAUGGGUAGCUGGUCUGAGAGGACGAUCAGCCACACUGGGACUGAGACACGGCCCAGACUCCUACGGGAGGCAGCAGUGGGGAAUCUUGCGCAAUGCGCGAAAGCGUGACGCAGCAACGCCGCGUGGGGGAAG
Molecule: ribosomal RNA, 389 nt
Filed under: uncultured bacterium
Lineage: Bacteria
Description: bacterial SSU rRNA
Rfam family: Bacterial small subunit ribosomal RNA
Source: RNAcentral